This is an RNA transcript of Brassica napus (rape), 1451 nucleotides long. It is a transcript of the gene named probable sugar phosphate/phosphate translocator At5g05820, with no coding region annotated. The record is from RefSeq and is a predicted model, not a curated record. Lineage: Eukaryota; Viridiplantae; Streptophyta; Magnoliopsida; Brassicales; Brassicaceae. The transcript is spliced from 5 exons.
UUGUUUCUAACCAAAGGCUCUACCUUUCCUUCAUUGGUACACAUCUCGACGACACAAAAGCUCUCUCCUUUAGAGUAAGAUGAAGAUGGCGACGAACGGCCGCGUUUUCACAAUCGGGCUGGUGACGUCAUGGUACACAGCGAACAUCGGAGUGCUGCUGCUUAACAAGUACCUCCUCAGCAACUACGGGUUCAAGUACCCGAUCUUCCUCACCAUGUGCCACAUGACGGCCUGCUCGCUCCUCAGCUACGCCGCCGUCGCGUGGCUGAAGAUCGUCCCGAUGCAGACGGUUCGAUCCCGGGUCCAGUUCGCGAAGAUCUCGGCUCUGAGCCUCGUCUUCUGCGUGUCGGUGGUGUUCGGGAACGUCUCCCUGAGGUUUUUACCGGUUUCGUUUACUCAGGCGAUUGGGGCUACGACGCCGUUUUUUACUGCUGUGUUUGCGUGGUUGAUGACGAUGAAGAGGGAGGCUUGGUUGACUUACUUGGCUCUGGUGCCUGUGGUGGCUGGUGUGGUGAUUGCUAGUGGGGGUGAGCCAAGCUUUCACCUCUUUGGAUUCAUUAUGUGCAUUGCAGCAACAGCUUCGAGAGCACUCAAAUCAGUGCUUCAAGGCAUUUUGCUUUCUUCUGAAGGGGAAAAGCUGAACUCCAUGAAUCUCCUUCUUUACAUGGCUCCAAUAGCUGUGGUGUUCCUUCUGCCUGCUGCUCUCAUCAUGGAGAAAAACGUUGUCGGCAUUACAAUUGCACUCGCAAGAGAUGAUUUUAGAAUCAUUUGGUAUCUUCUGUUCAAUUCAGCGCUUGCCUAUCUCGUGAACUUGACUAAUUUCUUAGUCACGAAACACACUAGCGCCUUGACUCUGCAGGUGCUAGGAAACGCGAAAGGAGCAGUAGCGGUUGUGAUCUCUAUUCUAAUAUUCAAGAAUCCGGUGUCUGUGACUGGAAUGCUUGGUUAUGCCCUCACCGUCUGUGGAGUUAUCUUAUAUAGUGAAGCCAAGAAACGGAGCAAAUGACAACACACCAAGAUUCAUCUUCUUCUUCUUCUUCGUUCCUCCUUAUAUAUAUGUGUGUAUACUUUUUCCCACAGGCACGUAGGCUCCUUGGCUCCUCUUGUCUUGAUGAAAAGCUGGGCCAAAAGCAUGUAUAGUUCUUGAGCAGAAACUGGAGAAGGAAAAGCAACACAAAGAUGAGUACCAAAAGGUUCACUGGGUUGUUAAGAACACAGAGAUGUGUACUAGCUGUUUUGACAGAGAGCUGAGAAUCAGAAUUGGAAGUAAUAUCUGUUGCAGAAGAAAGAGCUAAAAGAGAGGAGACGAGAGAGAGUUCUUUUUUUUUUUAACUAAUGAGAGAACAGUCUAGUCUUUGUAUGGUCAAAUCACUCGCUUGGUUUCUUUUUCUGGAAACGGCAGCCAUUAUCAUUAUCAAGCUGUAGAUCCAGUUUCACUGCAGCAUGUCUCA